GAGCUGAGCAAUGGGCAUUAUAGAGGGCAUUUGUGUCGAGCACUGGGUAUUCUAUGUAAGUGACGAAUUACUAACUUCUACUUCUGAAAACAAUAUUACACUAUAUGUUAACUAAGUAGAAUUUAAAUAAAAAUUUUAAAUAUUAAGAAAAUCAAAUG
Molecule: long non-coding RNA, 158 nt
Organism: Herpailurus yagouaroundi (jaguarundi)
Lineage: Eukaryota; Metazoa; Chordata; Mammalia; Carnivora; Felidae
Exons: 3
Source: RefSeq, a predicted model, not a curated record